RNAcentral lists this long non-coding RNA (2768 nucleotides) under Mytilus galloprovincialis (Mediterranean mussel). The record is from RNAcentral. Lineage: Eukaryota; Metazoa; Mollusca; Bivalvia; Mytilida; Mytilidae.
UGCAAUGUCAUGAAUGUGUAGAAUAUUUUCUUUGUUCAUAUAUUUAAAGCUAUUGGAUCAUAUAACAACGAAUUUUAAACAUGCCAAAAAAUCAAACAAAUGUGAAAUUGUCAUUUCUUGUACAUAUAAAUUAUUGAUUUUUAAUACAUUUAUUACUUUAAAUGGAAUAUUGCCAACACAAUGAACUGAAACCUGAAGAUUACUUAUUUCAAGCCUCACUACUGAUGGUAGGGGACAUUAUGUUUUAUGAGUCAUUUCAUUAGUAACUAAAAAACAAGGUCUUAUAUACAAUAAGUAAACAUUGGAAUAAAUACUGUUUUUUGAAUAUUAAUUCUACAAAAAUCAAUAAAUCUGUUCUUUAUAAAAAAAAAAAAGGUCCAGCAAUAUGAUGAUAUAUUUUGUUUAUCUGUUUUUAGAAUCAGAGCAGUUUAGCUGAUACGUUCAGUACCCUACUUUUUUAAUUUGUUUUGAAUAUUAAAAACCACUGUGAUUGAUGAUAAUCUAAUAAUUUAAUAAUUAUAUGCUGUUUUGUGUUUUUUUUUGUUACACUUACUUUGUACACAUGCCAUGGGAAGGCACUUUCAAAAUGGGGUAUAAAUCACCAUUAGAGGUGAAUUUAGAGUUUCACUCAUAUUUUCACUGUACCAUGAUGUACACCCACAAAGAAAUUACAGAAAGCUAAUGAAAUAUAUUAAGCCCUAGUCCCACUAAACCACGAUCGCACCACACUCACCGCGAUCUAAAAUAAGUUCAGAUCGUGGUGAGGUCGCGGUAUGAGUGGCAUGAAAAUGUAAAUUUUCGCUGCUUUCACGAUAAUACUACGUCCUCAUUACGCUUCUACAACAAUCCCGCUAUGAAUAUACCACGUUCUCACUGCGCUUAUCAAGAUCUUUCUAUGCUCAUCACGUUCUCACUACAACCAUACCACGAGUUAUCCGAUUGCAACACGAUCUUACCACGCUUCUACUGCAAUUAUAGCACGUUCUUACCACGAUUAUACUACAUUCAUACCGCAAUCUUACUACGUUCCAAACAAUAAUAUCAAUAUCGUGUUCCAUAUCAAAACAGUUCCAGUACUUCAUGUCUGAUUAAUACGUAGAUUUCUCGGAAGCAAUACAGUCAUGCCACCCAAAUUUACUUGAACAUGUGGGCGUGGUGCUAUAGAGGUUGAUGAAGAGGCAGAGGGAGUAAAGUAACAAACUUGAUCAAUUCAACCUAAAUUAAACCUAUUGCUGGUCCAUAAAGCUCAAAUGACAUUAUUUUAGUGAACAAUAGCAGAGAUGACACAGACGUAUCAAUUGCUAUUGGAAGAUGUGGUAUGACUGCCAAUGAGACAUACUCUCCAUCCAAGUAACAAUUUAUAAAAGUAAACCAUUAUAGGCCAAUUACGGCCUUCAACACGGAGCCUUGGCUCACAUCGCACAGGAAGCUAUAAAGGGCCCAAAAAAUUACUAGUUUAAAACCAUCUAAACGGGAAAACCAACAGUCUAAUCUAUAUAAAAACGAGAAGCAUGGUUGAGCCGUUAGAGCAAAUGGAUAAUUACAUACAGACUAACAAAAUGUAGGGAGCUUUUUUAUAUAUUUUUUUGUGAAAAAGACAAUGAGAAUGAUGGUCGUAGUAUGGACAUAGUUAUGUGGUAAGAAAAGCGUGAUGAGGACGGCAUGGGCGCCCUAGAAUCGUACUAUGGUCCCAAACAGCGUCGUAGUCGUAGUGGAAGCUUUGUUGGGUCGUAGUGAGGUCUCUGAGAGAUCGUAACGUAGUCCCUCUGAAUAGAAUCAUGCUCUCGCUACGAUGGUACAGCAACCUUUACUACGAUCUUAGUACGCUUCUACUAUGACCUGCUUUCAGCACGAUCGCACCACGAUUGUUUUGAACAUGUUCAAAGUAGGCCAAGCUCAUCACGAUCUUGAAGACCUAACCAUGACUGUGAUACGACCUUACUGCAAACUAUACAAUUUUACUACGAUCAUCAAAAUUUGUAUUUUUUUCACAGAUCAUAGUGUGAUCGUUGCCUAGUGGGACUUCAGUAUUAACUACCAUGAUGAAAAAAGUAACAUAUUUCUAUGAUAAGAACACUAAAGUUUUUGUUUAAGGUGGCUCAGGCCUAUUCGAAGUUUCUGUCAGAAGUGCCGUAUUUUUUGUUAUUUUAAACUUUACAGAGAGUGAAUCAAAUUGUUUGAAAAAAAUAGGGUGUCAUUUAAGCUCAAAAUAUUACUUUUAAAGAGGUAUGUAAAAGGGACUGUUUUUCAAUGAAAUGAUGGGGAAAACAGAGAUGUUGACAUAUUUUUAUCAGAUUAUCAAAAAAAACCGUUCUGUGACACUUCAUCAAAAACUGUAAUAUAAAAAGCUGAAAUAUAGCUUCAAAGAAUGAGCAAAUAAAAAACAUAGGUCACCUAUAAGCAAAAAAAAUAUAUUUUGCCUUAAAACCAAAAUUUUGGCAGGAAAAUGGUGAAAUUUAGUGAAAUGUCAUUUUGAGCCUUUCACAGAUACACAUAAUAAUGAUAAAAGUACAGUGAUUUAACAUUUUUAAUCAAUCAAAAUAUUUAACAAAAAAAAAAUGAAUUUAAGACACAAACUUUUCGUGUGCAUGGUAAUUCAUGCGUGAAAUUACAUGCGCAGUCGAAUAGUCCCGAUCCACCUUAAUGUGUAUGGAGAUUUUCUUAUUGAGUAUUUGUACUAGUAUUUGUUCUUUUAAAUGUUGAAAGAUGAUUAAUCUUGAAUCUAAAGAAUGAUUUGCUUUCUAAGUUAUUCUUUGUUUAUAUUGUGU